Molecule: non-coding RNA, 883 nt
Organism: Peromyscus maniculatus bairdii (prairie deer mouse)
Lineage: Eukaryota; Metazoa; Chordata; Mammalia; Rodentia; Cricetidae
Source: RefSeq, a predicted model, not a curated record
GGGACAGCAGCGAUGCCUGUGGUGGGUGAUCCUUGAAAGAGCUCCAGCAUCUUUGGCUGAAGACUUCAGCUGUCUGGGCACCCCGGUGAUAUCGAGGGGCUCCAGAGGGGUUCUAUGGGUAACUAAAGCCACCCACAGAUGUGGACUUCAGUGGAAGCUUAGGGUGACCUGUGACAAAAGAUGGUUGGAGAACAGACUUAGAAUAUGUGGUAAAAUUCAUGACAAAAAGUUGUUUCAUUUUCAGAAGAUAGCAAUUAACCCAGAAGCUCCCAACUGGUCAACGUGUAGAGAAUACAGACUGUUGGGGUCCAGACCUAAAUGGGAUGUACAUAUUACACCCGCUGCCCCAAGACUCAAGGAUCUUCACAGAAAUGGAGCAGACAGAAUGUAAGAACCAGAAGUGUCAAGAACAUCAAGGAAACAGUAUUUUCCAGAAACAACAGGGCAGUUGUACACGUGAACUCACAGAAAUUAUGACAGCAUGCGCAAGACCAAAAACAAAAAACAAAAACCAACCAAACAAACAAAGACAAGGAAAGCUUUACUCAAAACUCUAACAACGUCAUUAGGAAACCUUUGGAAAGAUGACGAGCCAAACCCAUGCAGGGACCUCUGAGACAUGUCCCUAUUCCUGGCUUGAGUUGAUUCGGAGACAGCUUGAGAAUUUCUGUAUUUUGUGUGGUAACAUCUUAGCAGUGUUUUCUAACCAUUCAUGUUUUUACCUGGUCACUAUAAUGAAGAAGAUAUAAGAAAGUGCGACAUGUGUGACUCAGAGAAUUAGCUUCCCACGACCCCCAAACACACAGGAAUACAAUCUUGCUUCAUACGAAUGCAUACAUAUCCUUACAUUCUUUAAGCCAAUGCAAAUUUUGUGUACCCUUAA